GCCGGCGAGCGGCGGACGGGUGAGUAAUGUCUGGGAAACUGCCUGAUGGAGGGGGAUAACUACUGGAAACGGUAGCUAAUACCGCAUGACCUCAAAAGAGCAAAGUGGGGGAUCUUCGGACCUCACGCCAUCGGAUGUGCCCAAAUGGGAUUAGCUAGUAGGUGAGGUAAUGGCUCACCUAGGCGACGAUCCCUAGCUGGUCUGAGAGGAUGACCAGCCACACUGGAACUGAGACACGGUCCAGACUCCUACGGGAGGCAGCAAUGGGGAAUAUUGCACAAUGGGCGCAAGCCUGAUGCACCCAUGCCGCGUGUGUGAAGAAGGCCUUAUGGUUGUAAAGCACUUUCAGCGAGGAGGAAGGCAUCAUACUUAAUACGUGUGGUGAUUGACGUUACUCGCAGAAUAAGCACCGGCUAACUCCGUGCCAGCAGCCGCGGUAAUACGGAGGGUGCAAGCGUUAAUCGGAAUUACUGGGCGUAAAGCGCGCGCAUGCGGUUUGUUAAGUCAGAUGUGAAAUCCCCGCGCUUAACGUGGGAACUGCAUUUGAAACUGGCAAGCUAGAGUCAUGUAGAGGGGGGUAGAAUUCCAGGUGUAGCGGUGAAAUGCGUAGAGAUCUAGAGGAAUACCGGUGGCGAACGCGGCCCCCUGGACUAAGACUGACGCUCAAGUGCGAAAGC
RNAcentral lists this ribosomal RNA (677 nucleotides) under soil bacterium Dicl-S3N-M1LLLSSL-2. RNAcentral describes it as "bacterial SSU rRNA". It matches the Rfam family "Bacterial small subunit ribosomal RNA", at positions 87 to 760 of the family's 1533-position model. The record is from RNAcentral.